GACUAAAGCUAUUCCGCCACCACCACCCAUGGGCCUUCCACUGAUGCCCCUCAGUAACAUGGGAAGUCAAACAGGAAGUGCCAGCCCAGCUACUGGACCCCCAACCAACGGACCAACGGCUAACAUGUUCCGGAAAAGAGCAGGCAACUGCUUACAUCAGGGGUCUUGUUCACUAGGAACCCGGAACAGACACAUUGAUGUGAUGAACCCAGGUGGAUAUAAGCCUGGGGUGUCUGUCCCCCCACCAACCAUGUUGGCCCUUCUGACUCCUGUGGACAUGACAGGAAAUAUAUUCCACCCAGCCCAAGCCUUGAAAAAUGCAGGACAUUCGAACUAGUCCACAGAAACCAGAUAUACAAAACAGACAUACAGUGACAACAAAUAAAUGUUCCUUUAGCAUCAAAAUUACAUUCUCCUGUCGUCUGUUCCUUGCUUUUCCAUAAAGAUGCCUUUUCUUGUGUUUCUACCGUCUCCAACACCUUCCGUCCUACUGUGCCAAACCACUGAUAUGUCAAAUGAUUCAAAAUGGUAUCACCUUACAUUAGAUUUACUAUAUUAAAAAUACAGGCCCCACAGUAGGAACAAGUCAGUACACUGUUUUUGACUGAGAAUUAAAUAUCAAUAGACCAAUAAGGAACCCA
This is a long non-coding RNA of Clupea harengus (Atlantic herring), 641 nucleotides long. Lineage: Eukaryota; Metazoa; Chordata; Actinopteri; Clupeiformes; Clupeidae. The record is from Ensembl.